This 451-nucleotide ribosomal RNA is filed under the name uncultured bacterium. Its description in RNAcentral is "partial 16S ribosomal RNA". It matches the Rfam family "Bacterial small subunit ribosomal RNA", at positions 29 to 523 of the family's 1533-position model. The record is from RNAcentral.
AGCGAACGCUGGCGGCAGGCUUAACACAUGCAAGUCGAGCGGGCAUAGCAAUAUGUCAGCGGCAGACGGGUGAGUAACGCGUGGGAACGUACCUUUUGGUUCGGAACAACACAGGGAAACUUGUGCUAACACCGGAUAAGCCCUUACGGGGAAAGAUUUAUCGCCGAAAGAUCGGCCCGCGUCUGAUUAGCUAGUUGGUGAGGUAAUGGCUCACCAAGGCGACGAUCAGUAGCUGGUCUGAGAGGAUGAUCAGCCACAUUGGGACUGAGACACGGCCCAAACUCCUACGGGAGGCAGCAGUGGGGAAUAUUGGACAAUGGGCGCAAGCCUGAUCCAGCCAUGCCGCGUGAGUGAUGAAGGCCCUAGGGUUGUAAAGCUCUUUUGUGCGGGAAGAUAAUGACGGUACCGCAAGAAUAAGCCCCGGCUAACUUCGUGCCAGCCGCCGCCGUAA